Long non-coding RNA from Marmota flaviventris (yellow-bellied marmot), 608 nucleotides. RefSeq lists it as uncharacterized. The record is from RefSeq and is a predicted model, not a curated record. Lineage: Eukaryota; Metazoa; Chordata; Mammalia; Rodentia; Sciuridae.
GGAGGAGGAAGGGGACUGGAGAUGAUGAACUCUGCGAGCCUGUCCCAGCUGAGAGCCUGGGUUUGUGAGCUGCAACACAUAUCUGUUAGAGACACUGAGGCCAGGAGAGGAGAAAGGAUCAGUAUACAUUGACCAUCACUUCCAUGUCAUCAGGUAGGACACAAAGGGACCAAAGAGGACUUCAUUUCCAUUUUGGGAUAGGCCAGAAGGAAAGAGAGUGGGGUACUACAGCAGUAAAGAUAAAGGAUGGAUAAUAAGAGGAACUUCCAGUUGCCAUCGAGCUUUGAUUCCUGGACUGGGGUACACAUACUGCUUGGCUAUGGGAAAAGGGCUGGAAUGGAAAUGACACAGGCUGGGCCUGUAGCCAAUGGGAACUUCCCCGUAGAAGAUGCCACUUAAAAGUGUUAUUAAACCCUCAGGACUUUUAAAGUGGAGAACAAGAACUGUCAGAGGGAGUCUUCUUGUUUAAGUCCACGCUGUGAAUGGAACUGAGAAGGCUGAGAAGCAUAGGCUGGACUAGGAAGCUUAUAGAAACUCAAGAGUCAGACUGGGGCUGUCACUAGGUGGUAAAGCACUUGCCUAGCAUGUGUGACGCAGUGAGUUCGAUC